GUACCUUAAUGAACAAAUUAUUGUUAUUUUUCUUAUCCUGUUUUAAAACUCUUCAAGCAUCUCAAGAAUCAGUUUCUCAGAUGACUCCUGUGUACGCAUAUAUACGUAUGCAGUAAAACUUUGAAUGUAGACACUGAGGCACAGAGAAGCAUCACACUGUUCAACUGAGAGUAGAUCCUCCAUCUGUGCUCGGCCUGCCAGGGAAACUCACCUUUCCUGUUUGAAAUAGUGAACCACUUGGAAACUGAGGAUUGGAUACCUACCCUCCGCUCCCCAUACCUUGCUCCACCCUUUUCUCCACCACCCAAAGCUCAUCUGCUGCCUCACUGCGGACUCACCCAGGAGCAGAAGGGCUGUCAGUGCCCACAUGAUGGAUCUGACUGCAGCAGCUGCAGAAGGAUGGAGAUGUGCUGGCAUGAGAUGGGGAACAAAGAGAAAGAAA
This is a long non-coding RNA of Rhinopithecus roxellana (golden snub-nosed monkey), 442 nucleotides long. RefSeq lists it as uncharacterized. The record is from RefSeq and is a predicted model, not a curated record. The transcript has 3 exons. NCBI's taxonomy places the organism in Eukaryota, Metazoa, Chordata, Mammalia, Primates, Cercopithecidae.